GAUGAAGAACGCAGCGAAAUGCGAUAAGUAAUGUGAAUUGCAGAAUUCAGUGAAUCAUCGAAUCCUUGAACGCACCUUGCGCUCCUUGGUAUUCCGAGGAGCAAGCCUGUUUGAGUGUCAUGAAAUUCUCAACCUUUUCAGCUUUCUUUGUUGAUCAGGCUUGGAUGUGGGAGUAUGCGGGCUUCUCAGAAGUCGGCUCUCCUGAAAUGCAUUAGCGGGACCUUUGUUGCCUGGCUUUGGUGUGAUAAUUAUCUACGCCAUUGUAGUCAAGCAGCUUAAAAUGAGGUUUCAGCUUCUAACCGUCUCCCCUGAGACAACUUUUUGACAAUUUGACCUCAAAUCAGGUAGGACUACCCGCUGAACUUAAGCAUAUCAAUAAGCGGAGGA
RNAcentral lists this unclassified non-coding RNA (387 nucleotides) under soil metagenome. RNAcentral describes it as "partial contains 5.8S ribosomal RNA, internal transcribed spacer 2, and large subunit ribosomal RNA". The stretch from base 1 to 120 matches the Rfam family "5.8S ribosomal RNA", at positions 35 to 154 of the family's 154-position model. The record is from RNAcentral.